GCCAGCAUAGCUCAGUUGGUAGAGCAGUUGCUUUGUAAGCAUCAGGUCGUGGGUUCGAAUCCCUCUGCUGGCUCCA
RNAcentral lists this transfer RNA (76 nucleotides) under Candidatus Wolfebacteria bacterium. RNAcentral describes it as "tRNA-Thr". It matches the Rfam family "tRNA". From Rfam's summary of the family: Transfer RNA (tRNA) molecules are approximately 80 nucleotides in length. Lineage: Bacteria; Candidatus Wolfeibacteriota. The record is from RNAcentral.